UAGGGAAUCUUCCACAAUGGACGCAAGUCUGAUGGAGCAACGCCGCGUGAGUGAAGAAGGUUUUCGGAUCGUAAAGCUCUGUUGUUGGUGAAGAAGGAUAGAGGCAGUAACUGGUCUUUAUUUGACGGUAAUCAACCAGAAAGUCACGGCUAACUACGUGCCAGCAGCCGCGGUAAUACGUAGGUGGCAAGCGUUGUCCGGAUUUAUUGGGCGUAAAGCGAGCGCAGGCGGAAUGAUAAGUCUGAUGUGAAAGCCCACGGAUCAACCGUGGAACUGCAUCGGAAAAUGUCAUUCUUGAGUGCAGAAGAGGAGAGUGGAAUUCCAUGUGUAGCGGUGGAAUGCGUAGAUAUAUGGAAGAACACCAGUGGCGAAGGCGGCUCUCUGGUCUGCAACUGACGCUGAGGCUCGAAAGCAUGGGUAGCGAACAGG
RNAcentral lists this ribosomal RNA (429 nucleotides) under bacterium. RNAcentral's name for it is "partial 16S ribosomal RNA". It matches the Rfam family "Bacterial small subunit ribosomal RNA", at positions 355 to 776 of the family's 1533-position model. The record is from RNAcentral.